GUGUCAGCAGCCGCGGUAAUACGAGGGGGGCAAGCGUUGUUCGGAAUUAUUGGGCGUAAAGGGUGCGUAGGCGGUUUGGUAAGUCUGAUGUGAAAUCUAUGGGCUCAACUCAUAGUCUGCAUCGGAAACUGCCGGGCUUGAGUAUGGGAGAGGUGAGUGGAAUUCCUGGUGUAGCGGUGAAAUGCGUAGAUAUCAGGAGGAACACCUGUGGCGAAAGCGGCUCACUGGACCAUAACUGACGCUGAUGCACGAAAGCUAGGGGAGCAAACAGGAUUAGAUACCCCCGUAGUCC
This 292-nucleotide ribosomal RNA is filed under the name uncultured bacterium. RNAcentral's name for it is "partial 16S ribosomal RNA". It matches the Rfam family "Bacterial small subunit ribosomal RNA", at positions 505 to 796 of the family's 1533-position model. The record is from RNAcentral.